ACUUAAGCAUAUCAAUAAGCGGAGGAAAAGAAACCAACAGGGAUUGCCUCAGUAACGGCGAGUGAAGCGGCAACAGCUCAAAUUUGAAAUCUGGCCUCGGCCCGAGUUGUAAUUUGUAGAGGAAGCUUUUGGUGCGGCACCGACCGAGUCCCCUGGAACGGGGCGCCAUAGAGGGUGAUAGCCCCGUAUGGUUGGACGCCUAUCCUCUGUAAAGCUCCUUCGACGAGUCGAGUAGUUUGGGAAUGCUGCUCUAAAUGGGAGGUAGAUUCCUUCUAAAGCUAAAUACCGGCCAGAGACCGAUAGCGCACAAGUAGAGUGAUCGAAAGAUGAAAAGCACUUUGAAAAGAGGGUUAAAUAGCACGUGAAAUUGUUGAAAGGGAAGCGCCUGUGACCAGACUUGCGCCCCGUCGAUCAUCCGGGGUUCUCCCCGGUGCGCUCGGCGGGGCUCAGGCCAGCAUCGGUUCUCGCGGGGGGACAAAGGCUCCGGGAACGUAGCUCCUCCGGGAGUGUUAUAGCCCGGGGCGUAAUGCCCUCGCGGGGACCGAGGACCGCGCUUCGGCAAGGAUGCUGGCGUAAUGGUCACCGGCGACCCGUCUUGAAACACGGACCAAGGAGUCAAGGUUUUGCGCGAGUGUCUGGGUGUAAAACCCGCACGCGUAAUGAAAGUGAACGUAGGUGAGAGCUUCGGCGCAUCAUCGACCGAUCCUGAUGUAUUCGGAUGGAUUUGAGUAGGAGCGUUAAGCCUUGGACCCGAAAGAUGGUGAACUAUGCUUGGAUAGGGUGAAGCCAGAGGAAACUCUGGUGGAGGCUCGCAGCGGUUCUGACGUGCAAAUCGAUCGUCAAAUCUGAGCAUGGGGGCGAAAGACUAAUCGAACCAUCUAGUAGCUGGUUACCGCCGAAGU
Molecule: ribosomal RNA, 902 nt
Filed under: Podospora pauciseta
Lineage: Eukaryota; Fungi; Ascomycota; Sordariomycetes; Sordariales; Podosporaceae
Description: partial large subunit ribosomal RNA
Rfam family: Eukaryotic large subunit ribosomal RNA
Source: RNAcentral